GAUGAACGCUGGCGGCGUGCCUAAUACAUGCCAGUCGAGCGGAAGGACGAGAAGCUUGCUUCUCGGUUGUUAGCGGCGGAGGGGUGAGUAACACGUGUAAAACCUACCUAUAUGACGGGGAUAACUUCGGGAAACCGGCGCUAAUACCGGAUAAUAUCUUGAACCGCAUGGUUCAAAAGUGAAAGACGGUCUUGCGGGCAGUUAUAGAUGGAUCUGCGCUGCAUUAGCUAGUUGGUCAGGUAAAGGGUUACCAAGGCUACGAUGCAUAGCCGACCUGAGAGGCUGAUCGGCGGCACUAGAACUGGAACGCGGUCCAGGCUCCUAAGGGAGGCCGCAGUCGCGUACGUUCCGCAACGGGCGAGAGUCUGACGGAGCGACGCCGCGUGUGUGAUGAAGGCGCUCGGAUCGUAAAACCCGGUUAUUAGGUAUGAACCGAUGUGUCAGGUGACGUGCACAUCUUGACGGUACCUGAUCAGAAAGCCACGGCUAACUACGUG
RNAcentral lists this ribosomal RNA (497 nucleotides) under uncultured bacterium. RNAcentral describes it as "partial 16S ribosomal RNA". It matches the Rfam family "Bacterial small subunit ribosomal RNA", at positions 28 to 507 of the family's 1533-position model. The record is from RNAcentral.